Molecule: long non-coding RNA, 410 nt
Filed under: Mytilus galloprovincialis (Mediterranean mussel)
Lineage: Eukaryota; Metazoa; Mollusca; Bivalvia; Mytilida; Mytilidae
Source: RNAcentral
GUUUAACUCGUACAUUGGUUUUUGACAUUUUUUUCUUUCUUUUAUUUAACAUGCCAUUUGUAUCUAUUUUGUGUAUUUUUGUCGAUUUUUCUCUAUUCUUUUGUUUUUGUGGGGGUCCCUUUUGAUAGAUAUUUGUCCAAUAAUGCUCACUUUUUUAAGCAAAUCUUAAACUCCGCGACAUGUAUGUUCGAAUUGGUAAAUUUCAGAAAUUGGCGUUACUUACCUGUCAUCGUAGUUUACCCGAACAGUCACGGAAUCAUAACAAAUGUUGUCAUAUUAAUGAUUAGCUUUUUGAUGAAUUGUGUAGUUAUAUAGCGUAUGCAUCUUAGUUCAUAAACAAUCGAUACACAGUAUUGACAAACAUUCUUAUACUUACUAUCAAGUUCACAACUCUGUUAGUCCUAUCCAUC